ACCAGCCAGGCUGCCCCGCCAUUUGUCACCGGGGCCGGGCGGGGGGUGGGGGGGGCUGGGGGCGGGCGGGGGGCGCGGCGGCGGCGGCUGCUGCGGGAGGUGCCCGGCGCGGCGACGGCGGCUGAGCGGAGCCUGAGCCGCUCUGUGCGGGGCCGGCCGCAGCCGGAGCCGCAGCCCCGGGGCGGGAGCUCGCCCCCGCCGCUGCCGCGGUGCCCGGGGAGCGCGGAGCCGGGCGGAGCCGGAGCGGCGGAGGAUGCGCCGGGCCCCGCCGAGCCCAGCCCAGCUGCAGCGCGGCGCCGCUCGCCCGACCGCCCAUCGGAGCACCCUGCACUUGGGAGCCAUGAGCCACCCCCAGCAGCCACAGAGCCGCCGGAGCAGCCCCCUGUGCCCACCCCCCCGGUGCUGAUAGCCCCUCUGCUGCAGCCUACACGUGGUCCUCCAGAGGUCUCACACCUAGCAGCGGGUCCCUGCAGGACUCCAGCUCCGGGCUCUGUUCCAGGGCUGGUCCCAUGAGCCAGGAAGGCUUGCACUGCCCUUUGCACCCGGGGCUGUGGCUCCCCACCCUUGCUGAGCUCCUCAGGAUCCCCCUCCAGCACCCGACACAAAGCUGCUGCACUCUGCUGCCACGGUAGGUGCCCGGGCUGCCUGCCCUACACCACCCUGUACUGCUGUAUGCUGCCCUAUACUGUCCUAUACUGCCAUACAGCGGGGAGAUCUUGAUGGUAUGUGGGUGGUUGUACUGAAUGAUAUUGGAGCUCCUUUCCAACCUUGGUGACUCUAUGAAUCUAUGAUGCUGUGAUUCUAUACCGCCCUGUGCUGCCCUAUACAGCCCUAUGCUGCCCUAUAGUGGGGAAAUAUUGCUUGUAGAGGGGUGGUUGGACUGGAUGAUCUUGGAGCUCUUUUCCAACCUCUGGUGACUCUAUGAUUCUAUGACACU
Molecule: long non-coding RNA, 937 nt
Filed under: Coturnix japonica (Japanese quail)
Lineage: Eukaryota; Metazoa; Chordata; Aves; Galliformes; Phasianidae
Description: lncRNA (ENSCJPG00005008002.1)
Source: RNAcentral